This 450-nucleotide ribosomal RNA is filed under the name uncultured bacterium. RNAcentral describes it as "partial 16S ribosomal RNA". It matches the Rfam family "Bacterial small subunit ribosomal RNA", at positions 354 to 796 of the family's 1533-position model. The record is from RNAcentral.
GUGGGGAAUAUUGGACAAUGGGCGAAAGCCUGAUCCAGCCAUGCCGCGUGUGUGAAGAAGGUCUUCGGAUUGUAAAGCACUUUAAGUUGGGAGGAAGGGCAGUAAGUUAAUACCUUGCUGUUUUGACGUUACCGACAGAAUAAGCACCGGCUAACUUCGUGCCAGCAGCCGCGGUAAUACGAAGGGUGCAAGCGUUAAUCGGAAUUACUGGGCGUAAAGCGCGCGUAGGUGGUUUUGUAAGUUGGAGGUGAAAUCCCCGGGCUCAACCUGGGAACUGCCUCCAAAACUGCAUGACUAGAGUACGGUAGAGGGUAGUGGAAUUUCCUGUGUAGCGGUGAAAUGCGUAGAUAUAGGAAGGAACACCAGUGGCGAAGGCGACUACCUGGACUGAUACUGACACUGAGGUGCGAAAGUGUGGGUAGCGAACAGGAUUAGAAACCCCUGUAGUCC